GAUGAACGCUAGCUACAGGCUUAACACAUGCAAGUCGAGGGGUAACGAGAGGAAAGCUUGCUUUCCUUGUCGACGACCGGCGCACGGGUGAGUAACGCGUAUCCAACCUGCCCCCAACUAGGGAAUAACCUUGCGAAAGUAAGACUAAUACCCUAUAAUUUCCUCAGAUGACAUCUGACGAGGAAUAAAGAUUUAUCGGUUGUGGAUGGGGAUGCGUCUGAUUAGCUUGUUGGCGGGGUGACGGCCCACCAAGGCAACGAUCAGUAGGGGUUUUGAGAGGAAGGUCCCCCACAUUGGAACAUGGACACGGUCCAAACUCCUACGGGAGGCAGCAGUGAGGAAUAUUGGUCAAUGGGCGGAAGCCUGAACCAGCCAAGUAGCGUGCAGGAUGACGGCCCUAUGGGUUGUAAACUGCUUUUAUACAGGAAUAAAGUUAGCCACGUGUGGUUAUUUGUAGGUACUGUAUGAAUAAGGACCGGCUAAUUCCGUACCAGCAGCCGCCGUAA
RNAcentral lists this ribosomal RNA (506 nucleotides) under uncultured bacterium. RNAcentral's name for it is "partial 16S ribosomal RNA". It matches the Rfam family "Bacterial small subunit ribosomal RNA", at positions 28 to 523 of the family's 1533-position model. The record is from RNAcentral.